This 254-nucleotide ribosomal RNA is filed under the name uncultured bacterium. Its description in RNAcentral is "partial 16S ribosomal RNA". It matches the Rfam family "Bacterial small subunit ribosomal RNA", at positions 524 to 777 of the family's 1533-position model. The record is from RNAcentral.
UACAGAGGUCUCGAGCGUUAGGCGGAAUCACUGGGCUUAAAGCGUGUGUAGGCGGAUCGUUAAGUGCCUUGUGAAAUCCCACGGCUCAACCGUGGAACUGCUUGGCAUACUGGCGGUCUUGAGCAACCUAGGGGCGAGCGGAACAAAUGGUGGAGCGGUGAAAUGCGUAGAUAUCAUUUGGAACGCCAAUGGUGAAAACAGCUCGCUGGGGGUUUGCUGACGCUGAGACACGAAAGCCAGGGGAGCAAAGCGGG